RNAcentral lists this ribosomal RNA (505 nucleotides) under uncultured bacterium. RNAcentral describes it as "partial 16S ribosomal RNA". It matches the Rfam family "Bacterial small subunit ribosomal RNA", at positions 28 to 507 of the family's 1533-position model. The record is from RNAcentral.
GACGAACGCUGGCGGCGUGCCUAAUACAUGCAAGUCGAACGCACAGUUUAUACCGUAGCUUGCUACACCAUAAACUGUGAGUUGCGAACGGGUGAGUAACGCGUAGGUAACCUGCCUGGUAGCGGGGGAUAACUAUUGGAAACGAUAGCUAAUACCGCAUAAUAUUGAUUAUUGCAUGAUAAUUGAUUGAAAGAUGCUAUUGCAUCACUACCAGAUGGACCUGCGUUGUAUUAGCUAGUAGGUGAGGUAACGGCUCACCUAGGCGACGAUACAUAGCCGACCUGAGAGGGUGAUCGGCCACACUGGGACUGAGACACGGCCCAGACUCCUACGGGAGGCAGCAGUAGGGAAUCUUCGGCAAUGGACGAAAGUCUGACCGAGCAACGCCGCGUGAGUGAAGAAGGUUUUCGGAUCGUAAAGCUCUGUUGUAAGAGAAGAACGGGUGUGAGAGUGGAAAGUUCACACUGUGACGGUAGCUUACCAGAAAGGGACGGCUAACUACGUG